GACGAACGCUGGCGGCGUGCUUAACACAUGCAAGUCGAACGAAGAGCGAUGGAAGCUUGCUUCCAUCAAUCUUAGUGGCGAACGGGUGAGUAACGCGUAAUCAACCUGCCCUUCAGAGGGGGACAACAGUUGGAAACGACUGCUAAUACCGCAUACGAUCUAACCUUGGCAUCGAGGAUGGAUGAAAGGUGGCCUCUAUUUAUAAGCUAUCACUGAAGGAGGGGAUUGCGUCUGAUUAGCUAGUUGGAGGGGUAACGGCCCACCAAGGCGAUGAUCAGUAGCCGGUCUGAGAGGAUGAACGGCCACAUUGGGACUGAGACACGGCCCAGACUCCUACGGGAGGCAGCAGUGGGGAAUCUUCCGCAAUGGACGAAAGUCUGACGGAGCAACGCCGCGUGAGUGAUGACGGCCUUCGGGUUGUAAAGCUCUGUUAAUCGGGACGAAAGGCCUUCUUGCGAAUAGUAGAAGGAUGACGGUACCCGAAUAGAAAGCC
This 493-nucleotide ribosomal RNA is filed under the name Veillonella dispar. RNAcentral's name for it is "bacterial SSU rRNA". It matches the Rfam family "Bacterial small subunit ribosomal RNA", at positions 28 to 492 of the family's 1533-position model. Lineage: Bacteria; Bacillati; Bacillota; Negativicutes; Veillonellales; Veillonellaceae. The record is from RNAcentral.